AUGAUCUACCGCAACUGGUCCCUGCUCUCCUCCACGGUGGUCAUCUGGGGCAGCGUCGGCGCCGCCGGCCUCGUCGGGAUCUUCCUCUUCGGCGACAAGGUAACCAGCCAACCCACCACCCACCGCGCUGCUCCCUCCCCCGUCCCUCUCGAAACCUCUUCAGGUGAGGAGCUCAUCUCCUGCAGCCUCCAUCCACCUCGCGUCCGCCUCCGCCGCCAGUAG
RNAcentral lists this ribosomal RNA (222 nucleotides) under Triticum aestivum (bread wheat). RNAcentral's name for it is "partial small subunit ribosomal RNA". The record is from RNAcentral. Lineage: Eukaryota; Viridiplantae; Streptophyta; Magnoliopsida; Poales; Poaceae.